AAAGGAGCGUCUACACUGAUUCAGGCAUCUGAAGCCUGAGGAGAAGGGAGAAAAACACCCCCAAGGAAAGAAAAAAAGAUUCAGAGAAGAUCAGUGGGAGGGAUGCUAAUGACAGACCACAGCCCGAUGCCUCACUUUGCUCUGGAUGCAGCCUUGUCCUGAAAAUCACAGUUCUCUUCCUGUUGGACCUGAGCAGCAUCCCAGCAUUACCUGCAGAGUCACCCCGCUCCAGACACACAGUGCAGAGCACAUGCCCUGAAACCAUGCAGAGAUACCACACAGACUCUUACACAAGAGGGUUUUAGCCCCUAGUGGCCUGAGAAGUUGCCAUGCACCACUCUCCACUUUGAAGCUUGGUUUAAAGCAAAGGAGGAGCCCUGGAACUGAAGAGGUAGACCCAGAAAGCUUCAUUUCUCCUACAGUUUUCCCAAUAGUUCCAAGGAAGCUAUCACUGGAAAAGCCCAGCUGCUUCUGCAGAAUGAUCCAUUUUCUUCUUACAAAUCAGAGAGUCACAUGCCUGGUCCUUUUAGGACAUAUGAUAGCUCGAUGUCACUGGGAAAUGUAGAGACACAUAGGAGUUCUACUGAUGCUAUGGCAUUACCAUCGGUGACUUAGUCUCUGAGGUCCAGGACAUUCUACUCUUGAGCUCAAGAACAUGCCGGUUCUGAUGGUCGGUGAGAACAGUGCUUCAGCCUUGGGUACCAAGUUCUGAGGUUUGACAGGGGCUUGUUUUUGAAGUGUCAUCUGCUGGUCACUGAAAUGUCACAAUCUGGACAGGCUGUCAGGUUGCCCAACAAAGUUCUCUUUCAUAAAAUGAGACAUCAUCAAGAAUGAUUCCUGCUUUGGAAUCAUUCCAAUUCUCUUGGAAUUUCUCAGAGAACAUUCUCCUGAAGCAGGUCCUAGGCCUGCACCUCCCCAAGCAGCCCUUCGAUGACUCCCUGUCUUCUGUGAUGUGUUUCAGUUGCAAAAGCCCAAGAGGGUCCACAAGGACUUCAGGAGACCCCCAGACCCCGAAUGCUAUGAGCCUUCCACCCCGGGGCCCCAAACCUGACUCGGACUUACCUGCUGGUGGCUAUUGUGCGCAGCCUCCUCCUCAAUACUGUCGGUGAACUCCGUGCUCGCGUCCUCCGUGUCGUCCCCCGCAGCUGCACCUACAAGAAGACCCAGAAGAGAAAGCUGACUCCCUUCACAGAUGCCUUCCAGACAGCAGCUAAAAUUAGUCUUUUCGCCGUCUACCUCUGAUUUCUUCCUUUCCCCACAUGCAUGGCCCCCUAGUGGCAGGAUUGACAAGCAAGGUGGCACCAGUGUGCCAAACCUGUAGAAAAGCCUUCUCACCUUCUCACCCAUACUCUCUUACGACACUCAAGCUUAAACCUCAAAACAUAAGCCAGCUUGGCCACAGAGUCCUGUUCAUAAGGAGCAGACUGUCAGAGCGGUUUCCCCUUGGACUUGUUUUGCACUUGUAUUCUUCUCUUGCCACUGUCUGGCUAUGUAACAACUUUCCCUACUGUGAAAUGGGCCCAAUGUGACAGUUUUUUUCCCAUCGCUCAGUGCUGAGAGGGUCCCUUGACUUCCUUGGGAUUAGGGCAGUCCUUCUCCUCUCACACUUUUCUACUAUUGGAGUCAGUUUUGCGUGGGUGAAAACCUCAAGAGGAACUAAGGGUCCUGUGUCCUACAAAAGCUCAGGUCUAGUCAAGACCAAUGGCUCAGGAUGGUUCAGCUGUUUCCUAACCACUUCCUCUAAACUCCCCAGCUCCCUCAAGCUCUUGUCCAAUGUCAGCAUCCUGUUCCUGAAGUGUUUCUUGCACUGCUGUGUGCAGAUGGAAUUGAAUCCACUUUCUUUCCCCAAAGAUGAACACAGUCUCUCUGGGGCACAGGCUUCUCUGACCUGCACUAAGGGACAACCAGCCACAGUCCAUCGUCUAGGUAAAAGUCUAGGUCAGUGCCGAUCAAUAGAACUUCCUGCAAUUUUAUGCCUCCACUGUUCAGUUCAGUAGAUGCCAGUCACAUGUGGCUACUGAGCACUUGAAAUUUGGCUAGCAUGACUGAAGAAUUGAUUUUUUAAUUUAAUUCAAAUAGCCACACAUGGUGGUAGCUACCAUAUCAGCACAAAUCUAGAGCAUUUCUUCUCCACAUCUGCUAAAAUAACACUUUAUCACAUUUUAGAUUAAGAUCUGUGGCCCAGAUUACUAAUUUCUUCAGAGAGUGUAGGGAUUUAUAAUGGUUAAUUCAUUUGGACACCAAAGAAAAUAUACUGUGACGCUCCCUGGGUCUUAAAGAACCCACCCAAGUUAGAGAACCUUGAGAUCUAGUUCUGACCCUGCCCUCAGUAACCAACCUGUUAAAACUCUUCUGACCACUGGGUAACCUGGGCCUCCAAGAGAUUAGGUGGUUUGACCAAGGUUACAUGGCUACUCCUAGAAAAGAGCUGUGCCAAAUUGGCAAGUCUUUGGACUUUCAGACAGAGACCACUCACUGUUCCUUCUGGUGACAAAUUAGAUCUCUGUUUCUUCUUCCAAGAGCAAACAUCCUGCUCCUGAUCUCAGAUGUCCGUGAAUGAAAGGCUCUGAAUGAAAAAUGAGCUUUUACUACCCUCUGCAGGUAAAGUGAAUGGGGCAAGUUCAUGCCAGGGAAUUUGCAAUGGCCCAGGCCCACCUCAUUAAAGUACUAAAAGCAUGGUGCCCUAACAGCUUAAUCUUAUGUCUUGUUGCCUGAUCUUCAUCAUGAAUGGUGGACCAAGACAGCAUCCUAUUCAAUAAAGCCCAGCUCACAAGGAGGCACCUUUACUACUCAGCACCUUUAGAGAUCUGUGGCAGACUGUGUAUAGGAGGGAUUUCCAAUACUUACUUUUUCAAACCACCCCAGAACCAUAUCAGUCAGGAUACUGGUAGUGUAGAGGUGAAUGAACACAAUUCCUAAGCUUUGACUGUUCUGGAAACUCACUGAACCCAGGAUGCUAAUUCACUUGAGGACACCCAUAUCCCAUAUGGUAUUAAGCUUACUUUGGAAAAUCUUUCCCUGUACAACAAUAAACAUCAGAACCUUU
Long non-coding RNA from Phacochoerus africanus (Common warthog), 3046 nucleotides. RefSeq lists it as uncharacterized. The transcript has 4 exons. The record is from RefSeq and is a predicted model, not a curated record. Lineage: Eukaryota; Metazoa; Chordata; Mammalia; Artiodactyla; Suidae.